RNAcentral lists this unclassified non-coding RNA (451 nucleotides) under Hevea brasiliensis (rubber tree). The record is from RNAcentral. Lineage: Eukaryota; Viridiplantae; Streptophyta; Magnoliopsida; Malpighiales; Euphorbiaceae.
UUUUUUUACUUAGAUAAUUACCAUAUCUAUCUAUAAAAAUAAUAAUCAAUUUAAUCGAAUUGAAUAGGGUCGAGAUUUCAACAAUUCAUUUCCCAUUUGGUAAGUGAACUCAAUGGGAUACAACUGAACAAAAAAAUAGCCCAUAAGCUUAGGAAUUUACUAAGAACAAAGCUUUACAUUGCUCCACUGUAUCUUCAGGGCUGGUAACUGUGUGACCCACAGUUCGUUCUGAUUCAUAUAUUUCAUGAUCAUUUCCUCCCUUGUAAGUUUUGUCCCCAAAGAAGUGGAUUUCAUCAAACUCAUCAAGGUAUCUCAAGCAGUAUGUCUUGUCCCAACCUUGAGGAAAAACAUCAAAACUUAUCUGUCCACCUAUUGAGAUUGUCAGGUUAAGGUGCGCGAACUUCUCACGCAGCACAGACACCAUUUUUGGGCGUAUGUUAUGGACCUUGUC